AUAAUAAUGUUAAAAAUAUUAUAUGUAUUUUAUUUUAUCCACUAAGUUUUUUUUCACAAUUAUUCUGUUACACUUGCCAAAGUGUAUUGAUUAUAUUUUCCAACUUAACAUAAUUGUAAUCUACUUUACAUAUAACUUUAUUUCAAUCCAUGCAUGUGGAGAAAUAUCUAUCUAUAUAUAUAUAUAUAUAUAUAUAUAUAUAUGCACAUACAUACAUUUGUGUGCAUAUAUACAUUUUAAAAGUUUAAUUUUCCACAUUAUAAAAGAAAAAAAUACUAAGAAACUUAAAACAUA
This 294-nucleotide long non-coding RNA is filed under the name Physcomitrium patens. RNAcentral describes it as "long non-coding RNA (PPAT_LNC008726)". Lineage: Eukaryota; Viridiplantae; Streptophyta; Bryopsida; Funariales; Funariaceae. The record is from RNAcentral.